CUCUUAUUUUGUCAUUAAUUUAUUAAAUUGCCUAAGUCUUUUGAUUAACAAGGAACUUUCUUGACAAAAGACUUUCCUUUGUUUCACAACUCUUCUUCCUUACGUGAGAAUAAAAAUAACCUAAUGGGCUAUACAUUUGCACAGGGCUCUACUAUUCAAAAGGAAGUAUAAAAGGAGGAGCAUCAACGUCUUUGGAUGUCGUCCCUUUUAUUU
This 213-nucleotide long non-coding RNA is filed under the name Erythranthe guttata (spotted monkey flower). Its description in RNAcentral is "long non-coding RNA (EGUT_LNC000124)". Lineage: Eukaryota; Viridiplantae; Streptophyta; Magnoliopsida; Lamiales; Phrymaceae. The record is from RNAcentral.